AAUACCAACAAUAUACACCUCAAUAACUCUCUCGAGACUAAGUUGAGAUAUUAUCAUGAAGCCCAGAAUCAUUUUCUUCAUGAUUAUUGUUUUAGUUUUAUUCACUUUUGUCAUCAACACCUAUGGAGAAGAGAAGCCCGGGUGUGAAGAUAGAUUUAUAAUGGAUGGGCAAUGUGGGAAGAAUGGAGACAUAGAUUGCAUUGUUGAAUGUGUCAAAAGACUUGGACUAAGGCUUAUUACAGCAGGAGAUUGCUAUUGUCGUGAUCUUCCUGACAAUAAACGCCGAUGCAUUUGCGCUUAUGACUCAUGUUAUUACAAAGGAUUAUUUGCUUCUCAAAGGCAUAGCUAGUGGAGGGAGUAUAUGCUUUUGACAAUUUAAUUGUCCCUACACCUAUGCAUGCACCAAGAAAUGUUGCUAUCGUUUAUGUUCAAAUUCUUCUAAUUCUGCUGUUACUCUUCUAACUUUGGCCAUCCUACCUUAAAUAUUGUACUCUCUAUUUUAAAUAAAUGCAAUAUCUCUAUUUCUCGUAAAUCUCAUGAUGUGUAUAUACGUGAAUUUUUUGCUCCACGGGAAAAUGUAUCAAUUACCAUUUGUUGAUCCUAAACUCAAUUUUUAAUGAUCCUUUUGAAUUUGUGUUUGUUGAUAUUUGGGAACAUGAUAUUAUGUGACAGGUAUCAGCAACUUAGGUGUGGAGAAAAUGUGCCUUGUGAGAUCUGGAACUUGAAGCAGAAUGUGAGAAUGUGAAGCAGAGAAGAGGUAGAGAAAGAAAAAGAGUUCUGUUAUUUUUAUUGAAAGAGAAAAAUAGUUGGUUCAAUUACAUGUAAGAAGCCGCAAGAGAUACUUAUAGAGAAGGUUUAACUACCUUCUAGAGAUAGAAAAGGAAAAGCUAACUAAUUGGCUAUUCUAGAAAGUUCUUGUAACUAAUUUGUAACUAACUAUUGGAAGCUGACUCGGAUCUUCUAAUAGACUUUUACACUAGGCAUCAAUCACAACCACAAUGCUAAUACA
Molecule: long non-coding RNA, 1009 nt
Organism: Arachis stenosperma
Lineage: Eukaryota; Viridiplantae; Streptophyta; Magnoliopsida; Fabales; Fabaceae
Exons: 3
Source: RefSeq, a predicted model, not a curated record